This 167-nucleotide ribosomal RNA is filed under the name uncultured bacterium. RNAcentral's name for it is "partial 16S ribosomal RNA". It matches the Rfam family "Bacterial small subunit ribosomal RNA", at positions 1334 to 1500 of the family's 1533-position model. The record is from RNAcentral.
GCUAGUAAUGGCAGGUCAGCAUACUGCCGUGAAUACGUUCCCGGGCCUUGUACACACCGCCCGUCACACCAUGAGAGUUGGGGAUACCCGAAGCCUGUGAGCCAACUAUAUAGAGGCAGCAGUCGAAGGUAGAAUCAAUGAUUGGGGUGAAGUCGUAACAAGGUAAC